CCUACGGGUGGCAGCAGUGAGGAAUAUUGGUCAAUGGGCGGGAGCCUGAACCAGCCAAGCCGCGUGAGGGAAGAAGGUACAGCGUAUCGUAAACCUCUUUUGUCAGGGAACAAAGGCGGGGACUAGUCCCCGGAUGAGGGUACCUGAAGAAAAAGCAUCGGCUAACUCCGUGCCAGCAGCCGCGGUAAUACGGAGGAUGCGAGCGUUAUCCGGAUUUAUUGGGUUUAAAGGGUGCGCAGGCGGCCUGUUAAGUCAGCGGUAAAAUUGAGAGGCUCAACCUCUUCGAGCCGUUGAAACUGGUUUUCUUGAGUGAGUGAGAAGUAUGCGGAAUGCGUGGUGUAGCGGUGAAAUGCAUAGAUAUCACGCAGAACUCCGAUUGCGAAGGCAGCAUACCGGCGCUCAACUGACGCUCAUGCACGAAAGUGUGGGUAUCGAACAGGAUUAGAUACCCUGGUAGUC
RNAcentral lists this ribosomal RNA (459 nucleotides) under uncultured bacterium. Its description in RNAcentral is "partial 16S ribosomal RNA". It matches the Rfam family "Bacterial small subunit ribosomal RNA", at positions 338 to 795 of the family's 1533-position model. The record is from RNAcentral.